RNAcentral lists this ribosomal RNA (552 nucleotides) under uncultured bacterium. Its description in RNAcentral is "bacterial SSU rRNA". It matches the Rfam family "Bacterial small subunit ribosomal RNA", at positions 330 to 882 of the family's 1533-position model. The record is from RNAcentral.
UCCAAAUUCCUACGGGAGGCAGCAGUGAGGAAUAUUGGUCAAUGGUCGGCAGACUGAACCAGCCAAGUCGCGUGAGGGAAGACGGCCCUACGGGUUGUAAACCUCUUUUGUCGGAGAGUAAAGUACGCUACGUGUAGCGUAUUGCAAGUAUCCGAAGAAAAAGCAUCGGCUAACUCCGUGCCAGCAGCCGCGGUAAUACGGAGGAUGCGAGCGUUAUCCGGAUUUAUUGGGUUUAAAGGGUGCGUAGGCGGCACGCCAAGUCAGCGGUGAAAUUUCCGGGCUCAACCCGGACUGUGCCGUUGAAACUGGCGAGCUAGAGUGCACAAGAGGCAGGCGGAAUGCGUGGUGUAGCGGUGAAAUGCAUAGAUAUCACGCAGAACCCCGAUUGCGAAGGCAGCCUGCUAGGGUGCGACAGACGCUGAGGCACGAAAGCGUGGGUAUCGAACAGGAUUAGAUACCCUGGUAGUCCACGCAGUAAACGAUGAAUACUAACUGUUUGCGAUACAAUGUAAGCGGUACAGCGAAAGCGUUAAGUAUUCCACCUGGGGAGUA